UGAGUUGCAGUUAUUUUCUCUGUCUGAAACUCUGACAGACUGUUGCACAGAGAGAAGCGGGAGCUGACUGAAGCUAGGCAGGAUGCAGGCUAUCAAAUGUGUUGUUGUGGGAGAUGGAGCUGUGGGGAAAACAUGUCUUCUCAUCAGCUACACAACCAACGCUUUCCCUGGAGAAUAUAUCCCUACUGUCUUUGAUAACUACUCAGCCAAUGUGAUGGUGGACAGUAAGCCAGUCAACCUCGGUCUCUGGGAUACAGCAGGACAGGAGGACUAUGACAGACUGAGACCACUGUCCUACCCACAGACGGAUGUGUUCCUCAUCUGUUUCUCUCUGGUGAGCCCAGCCUCCUACGAGAACGUCAGAGCCAAGUGGUACCCAGAGGUGCGUCACCACUGCCCGUCAACUCCUAUCAUCCUAGUGGGUACUAAGCUGGAUCUGAGGGACGAGAAGGAGACCAUCGAGAAGCUCAAAGAGAAGAAACUGGCCCCCAUCACCUACCCACAAGGCCUAGCGCUGGCCAAGGACGUUGGUAGACUCUGUGAAGUACCUGGAGUGUUCUGCUCUGACCCAGCGUGGCCUGAAGACAGUGUUUGACGAGGCUAUCAGGGCAGUACUCUGCCCACAGCCAGCCAAGGUCGGGAAGAAGAAAUGUCUACUGCUCUAACAGAUGCAGCUAAGAGUGAAAACGGACAGCGAACAAACCAGGGGGCAAGAUGUUAACUCAAAAGGCCUUUUAGUUUUUCUGUGCGAGAAGAAAAAACAUUGACUUAUGAAAGCCUACAUGGUUAAAUAAAUAUAACAUAUUAUAAUUAAGUCAUGUUAAAUCUAUUACAAUGGCAUCUGAUGUGUGCUUGUUAGGUACUGGUAUAUAGUGUAUGAUAUCUGUGUUUCUGUCAAAUGAAUAAAUUGUAUAAUAUUUGCAGAAUA
Molecule: RNA transcript, 928 nt
Organism: Oncorhynchus masou masou (cherry salmon)
Lineage: Eukaryota; Metazoa; Chordata; Actinopteri; Salmoniformes; Salmonidae
Gene name: ras-related C3 botulinum toxin substrate 2-like
Exons: 7
Source: RefSeq, a predicted model, not a curated record